AAAUGAAUAGACGGGGGCCCGCACAAGCAGCGGAGCAUGUUGUUUAAUUCGACGCAACGCGAAGAACCUUACCAGGUCUUGACAUCCAUGGAACCCGGCGGAAAUGCCGGGGUGCCCUUCGGGGAACUAUGAGACAGGUGGUGCAUGGUUGUCGUCAGCUCGUGUCGUGAGAUGUUGGGUUAAGUCCCGCAACGAGCGCAACCCUUGUGCUUAGUUACUAACGCGUAAAGGCGAGGACUCUAGGCAGACCGCCGAGGACAACUCGGAGGAAGGUGGGGACGACGUCAAAUCAUCAUGCCCCUUAUGACCUGGGCUACAAACGUGCUACAAUGGCCGUAACAAAGAGUUGCAACACUGUAAAGUGAAGCGGAUCUCAAAAAAGCGGUCUCAGUUCGGAUCGUGGGCUGCAACCCGCCCACGUGAAGUCGGAGUUGCUAGUAAUCGCGAAUCAGCAUGUCGCGGUGAAUGCGUUCCCGGGCCUUGUACACACCGCCCGU
Molecule: ribosomal RNA, 497 nt
Filed under: uncultured bacterium
Lineage: Bacteria
Description: bacterial SSU rRNA
Rfam family: Bacterial small subunit ribosomal RNA
Source: RNAcentral